CUAGUCAAACUUGCAUGUCCAUGACACUUGCCAUAAAAAAAAUGAUAAUAGUGUAUACUACUCCCUCCAUCCCAAAUUGUAAGUCAUUCCAAGAAUCUUGGAGAGUCAAAGCAUUUUCAUGUUUGACCAAACUUAUAGAGAAAAAUACUAAGAUUUGUAACGUAAAGUGAGUAUAUUAUGAACAUAUAAUUAAAGAAGAAUCUAAUGAUACUUAGUUGGUAUCAUAAUAAUAAUUAUUUUAUCAUAUAAAUUUGGUCAAAGUUAAAAAAGUUUGACUCUCCAAAAUUCUUGGAAUGACUUACAAUUUGGGAUGGAGGGAGUAACUACUAAGUAUCACUUGAUACCUUACACGCUAACAAUCAGUUAUGAACAUUUUGAUCGGUUGCCCAUCAUCAUGAUUGCUGCCUUGAUUUCAUUGUAAAAAGAUGUGAUAUAAGAGGGAUGUCCAAAAGGUGGAAAUCAUUUGACCGCAUAUUUUACCACAGACCUGUAUCAUGACACAGAUGAAGUGUAUUUUAGAAUCCAGAUUAACCUGGGCAUUUGGAAAAUGUCAAAACCAGCCCUACAUGGUAGUCGGGUUCUCAACCACCUCGCGACUCCAAAUUAACUGGCGUGGCAACAGGGUUCUAUGGGCUAUUUUCGAAUAGCCAUUGCCUGUACUACCCUAAGAAAAUAGUCUUCACAGCUGGGCCAUAUGAACUAUUUUCUUUUUGAGAACGUGACGUUCAUGUGUUUCAUCAUCAUUAAGAUAAGGAGAGAAUAAAAAAGAAUACAGUACAUUACAGUUAAAUACAGUCCAGUGUGCAACGCACCCUGACAAGAAGAUAAAAAAAAUGGGUGGGUUGUUGUUUACAAGACAUAAGCCGACCCAAACGAAGAAAUGAAACUGUGAACCACACAUUCGCUCCCGACCCCAUGCCGGUUAGAUAGGUGAACAAGCACUGAAGACUCCACAUUUGUUGACGAGAAAUAAAUAUGUCUGCACUCUGCAGACCUUCCAGUGGAAAUGGUUCAUCUAAGCACGACAUGAUGGAAGCACAUGCUUAUACGUUAGUUUGUGAAGAGCUAAACUGGGGUUAGGAUGAUUUUGGCUGCACAUAUGGCUUUCAAGUCUUUCAUUGUUUGUUUUGUGGAUUUUAAGGUGAUUUUUUUUUGACAAAACCUCUAACUUGUGGG
This 1176-nucleotide long non-coding RNA is filed under the name Sorghum bicolor (sorghum). RNAcentral's name for it is "long non-coding RNA (SBIC_LNC005544)". Lineage: Eukaryota; Viridiplantae; Streptophyta; Magnoliopsida; Poales; Poaceae. The record is from RNAcentral.